This 466-nucleotide ribosomal RNA is filed under the name uncultured Pseudomonadaceae bacterium. RNAcentral describes it as "bacterial SSU rRNA". It matches the Rfam family "Bacterial small subunit ribosomal RNA", at positions 338 to 795 of the family's 1533-position model. The record is from RNAcentral. Lineage: Bacteria; Pseudomonadati; Pseudomonadota; Gammaproteobacteria; Pseudomonadales; Pseudomonadaceae.
CCUACGGGCGGCUGCAGUGGGGAAUAUUGGACAAUGGGGGGAACCCUGAUCCAGCCAUGCCGCGUGUGUGAAGAAGGCCUUCGGGUUGUAAAGCACUUUAAUUUGGGAGGAAGGGCUUACGGUUAAUAACCGCUAAGUUUUGACGUUACCAAAAGAAUAAGCACCGGCUAACUUCGUGCCAGCAGCCGCGGUAAUACGAAGGGUGCGAGCGUUAAUCGGAAUUACUGGGCGUAAAGCGCGCGUAGGUGGUUCAUUAAGUUAGGAGUGAAAGCCCCGGGCUCAACCUGGGAAUUGCUUCUAAAACUGGUGAGCUAGAGUACGGUAGAGGGUGGUGGAAUUUCCUGUGUAGCGGUGAAAUGCGUAGAUAUAGGAAGGAACAUCAGUGGCGAAGGCGACCACCUGGACUGAUACUGACACUGAGGUGCGAAAGCGUGGGGAGCAAACAGGAUUAGAUACCCCAGUAGUC